Molecule: ribosomal RNA, 514 nt
Filed under: uncultured Glomus
Lineage: Eukaryota; Fungi; Glomeromycota; Glomeromycetes; Glomerales; Glomeraceae
Description: SSU rRNA
Rfam family: Eukaryotic small subunit ribosomal RNA
Source: RNAcentral
AGCAGCCGCGGUAAUUCCAGCUCCAAUAGCGUAUAUUAAAGUUGUUGCAGUUAAAAAGCUUGUAGUUGAAUUUCGGGGUCAGUAGAUUGGUCGUGCCACAGGUAUGUACUGGUCUUACUGGCUCCUCCUUCCUGAUGAACUGUAAUGCCAUUAAUUUGGUGUUGCGGGGAGACUGGACUGUUACUUUGAAAAAAUUAGAGUGUUUAAAGCAAGCUAACGCUUGAAUACAUUAGCAUGGAAUAAUGAAAUAGGACGAUCGAUCCUAUUUUGUUGGUUUCUAGGAUUGACGUAAUGAUUAAUAGGGAUAGUUGGGGGCAUUAGUAUUCAAUUGUCAGAGGUGAAACUCUUGGAUUUAUUGAAGACUAACUACUGCGAAAGCAUUUGCCAAGGAUGCUUUCAUUAAUCAAGAACGAAAGUUAGGGGAUCGAAGACGAUCAGAUACCGUCGUAGUCUUAACCAUAAACUAUGCCGACUAGGAAUCAGACGAUGUUAAUUUUUUAAUGUACUCGUUUGG